AAAUUGAAGAGUUUGAUCAUGGCUCAGAUUGAACGCUGGCGGCAGGCCUAACACAUGCAAGUCGAACGGUAACAGAAAGAAGCUUGCUUCUUUGCUGACGAGUGGCGGACGGGUGAGUAAUGUCUGGG
This 128-nucleotide ribosomal RNA is filed under the name Escherichia coli. Its description in RNAcentral is "partial 16S ribosomal RNA". It matches the Rfam family "Bacterial small subunit ribosomal RNA", at positions 1 to 121 of the family's 1533-position model. The record is from RNAcentral. Lineage: Bacteria; Pseudomonadati; Pseudomonadota; Gammaproteobacteria; Enterobacterales; Enterobacteriaceae.